UGGGGAAUAUUGGACAAUGGGCGCAAGCCUGAUCCAGCAAUGCCGCGUGUGUGAAGAAGGCCUGCGGGUUGUAAAGCACUUUAAGCAGGAAAGAAAGGCAAACUGAUAAUACCAGUUUGCAUUGACGUUACCUGAAGAAUAAGCACCGGCUAACUCCGUGCCAGCAGCCGCGGUAAUACGGAGGGUGCAAGCGUUAAUCGGAAUUACUGGGCGUAAAGCGCACGUAGGUGGUUUGUUAAGUCUUCUGUGAAAGCCCUGGGCUUAACCUGGGAACGGCAGGAGAAACUGGUAAGCUAGAGUGUCGGAGAGGGUAGUGGAAUUUCCGGUGUAGCAGUGAAAUGCGUAGAGAUCGGAAGGAACACCAGUGGCGAAGGCGGCUACCUGGACGAACACUGACACU
RNAcentral lists this ribosomal RNA (400 nucleotides) under uncultured bacterium. Its description in RNAcentral is "bacterial SSU rRNA". It matches the Rfam family "Bacterial small subunit ribosomal RNA", at positions 355 to 747 of the family's 1533-position model. The record is from RNAcentral.